GUUUAAAGUAAAUUAGCUUGACCUGUUGGUGACAACAUUUGUUUCCAACUAAAUAUGUACCUGCUUCAAGUAUUUCAUUGAAUUUCCAAGCCCACAGUCCAAUUUACACAAAAUAAAUCUUAUAGCCCCUGUUUGGGAUAACAGUGUGUACAAUCAUUGUGCCAGUAUCCCAUCGUUAGGUCCCAUAAUUUUCCCAUCGUUAGGUCCCAUCAUUUUCCCAUCGUUAGGUCCCAUCAUUUUCCCAUCGUUAGGUCCCAUCAUUUUCCCAUCGUUAGGUCCCAUCAUUUUCCCAUCGUUAGGUCCCAUCAUUUUCCCAUCGUUAGGUCACAUCAUUAGCCCAUCUUAAUCAACAAAAAUGCUAAUGUUCAUUUUCAAACAGAAUGGAGAUCAAAGGUAGUAUAUUGUAACUACCUUUUAUUUAAAUGCACUACUUGUUUUGACAGAAUUGGAUGUAAUUGUUAUUAUAUAUUGAUUCACAAAAAUAUAGUGAUGCUGUGCUGCUCAGAUAAAUGUUUUCAAACAAGUUUCUCUGAUGGCCAAAUACAUGCACAGUUCUGAAUAUACUGUAAAUUAAAAAAUCAUGUUUGUGUGACAUUCAACACAUGAGGAAUAUGCAAAAAUAACUACAGCAGCAAUUGAGCAGCCAUCUCUCCUCCCCUUCAG
Esox lucius (northern pike) is the source of this 663-nucleotide long non-coding RNA. The record is from Ensembl. Lineage: Eukaryota; Metazoa; Chordata; Actinopteri; Esociformes; Esocidae.